RNAcentral lists this unclassified non-coding RNA (224 nucleotides) under Hevea brasiliensis (rubber tree). Lineage: Eukaryota; Viridiplantae; Streptophyta; Magnoliopsida; Malpighiales; Euphorbiaceae. The record is from RNAcentral.
GCAAGACCCAACACAGAGACCAGAUUUCUCGGAGAUUUUGGAUAUUCUGAAGCAACUAACAAAGGAGGUUGGAGAUGAUGGAGAGGACAGACACAAGGACAAAUCAAUCGGUGGCUUUUUCUCGUCUCUUAGAAAGGGCAAUCACUGAGAAUUUACUAAAGAGAGGAGGUUGAUCGGCCUUCAGCUUUUGUCUCGGUGUACAGAUUCUCUGAUAUCCAAACUUG